This 535-nucleotide long non-coding RNA is filed under the name Gallus gallus (chicken). RNAcentral's name for it is "long non-coding RNA NONGGAT004891". Lineage: Eukaryota; Metazoa; Chordata; Aves; Galliformes; Phasianidae. The record is from RNAcentral.
AUUCUUUCCCAUUUAUUAAUAACAUUUAACCAUCAAUAUCAGUACAAACUUGUACAUAUUGGAAAACAUUCUUCAAUGCAGCUACUCGCUUUCUUCUAGAUGCAUAAGGGUACCUGAAAUGAAGCAGCUUCGAGGGAGCAGAGGAUGAAGAGCAGAUCUCCAAGCAUUAGAGGAGCAAAGCAGCAAGCCUCCCCACUCAAGAGCAUUAUUUCAAGCUCCAGCUCCUGGAACAGAAUAGCAUUACCAUGCACCCAAAGGCCUCAAGCUGCUGGUAAGCUAUUGCUGGUGGCCAGAGAUGUUAGAUACUCACAAGCAUGUUCUCUUCUCCUGCAGACAUUAUCUGAAAUCUACCACUUCUGCUGCCACCUCAAGCUUACUGCAGACAGAAGGGGAACCACACCACUCCGAGCAGCAGCAGCUUAAAUCCUUGGUCUCGCACAGGGAGCCCCUACAAGAAGGAGGCAGCGCUUAAUAAGAUUAGCAAAUGUUUAAGUCUGAGCAAAUAAAGAUAGCAAGUUGUUUCUCAGCAAAAAAC